UGUAGACUCUUGACUUUCAGAUUGUGAC
RNAcentral lists this non-coding RNA (28 nucleotides) under Mus musculus (house mouse). The record is from RNAcentral. Lineage: Eukaryota; Metazoa; Chordata; Mammalia; Rodentia; Muridae.